CCUACGGGUGGCAGCAGUGGGGGAUAUUGCACAAUGGGGGAAACCCUGAUGCAGCGACGCCGCGUGGGUGAAGGAGUAUUUCGGUACGUAAAGCUCUAUCAGCAGGGAAGAAAAUGACGGUACCUGACUAAGAAGCCCCGGCUAACUACGUGCCAGCAGCCGCGGUAAUACGUAGGGGGCAAGCGUUAUCCGGAUUUCAUGGGUGUAAAGGGAGCGUAGACGGCAGCGCAAGUCUGGAGUGAAAGCCCAGGGCUUAACCAUGGAACUGCUUUGGAAACUGUGCAGCUAGAGUGCAGGAGAGGCAAGCGGAAUUCCUAGUGUAGCGGUGAAAUGCGUAGAUAUUAGGAGGAACACCAGUGGCGAAGGCGGCCUACUGGACUGUAACUGACGUUGAGGCCCGAAGGCGUGGGGAGCAAACAGGAUUAGAUACCCCAGUAGUC
This 440-nucleotide ribosomal RNA is filed under the name uncultured bacterium. RNAcentral describes it as "partial 16S ribosomal RNA". It matches the Rfam family "Bacterial small subunit ribosomal RNA", at positions 338 to 795 of the family's 1533-position model. The record is from RNAcentral.